This 253-nucleotide long non-coding RNA is filed under the name Gossypium barbadense (sea-island cotton). Its description in RNAcentral is "long non-coding RNA (GBAR_LNC009005)". Lineage: Eukaryota; Viridiplantae; Streptophyta; Magnoliopsida; Malvales; Malvaceae. The record is from RNAcentral.
GGAUUUAUAAAUUCAGAGAUAUGCAAAUAGAGAAUUAUAUAAAUUGAACUUUUUAAUAGAAAUCGAAUCAAAUUUUAAAAAAUUGAUAAGACUUACUUAGGUAAUUGUGGAUGAGAAAUAAAGAAUAAGAGCAUUCUUUGUAGUGAAGAGAAAGUGAUCAUCCUCAAGUAAAUCUCCAUCAACCACUCACAAAUUUUUUUAACCAAACAAUUAAAUUUCAAUACUUGGAGCCUAACAAAAUUUUGACGUAAAC